AGAACAGGGGAGACAACAGGCCCAAAAUCUGCCCCAAAACAGGAUCGUGAGUGUGCUCAGCACCAACCUUUGCAUGAUUUGGAGGAUAUCGCCGGACCCAGCAAAGAGCCACCAGUCGACAGCACAUCCCCAGACACCAGAUAUGCUGAGGGUGAAGGAGUGCAAGAAAUCCAAGAUGAGCUUUUGGAGGCUGUUGUUUGCCCCAGCCACCAACUACCAGGAUGCACUAUUGGUCGGAUCAGUGCU
Long non-coding RNA from Rana temporaria (common frog), 246 nucleotides. RefSeq lists it as uncharacterized. The transcript is spliced from 3 exons. The record is from RefSeq and is a predicted model, not a curated record. NCBI's taxonomy places the organism in Eukaryota, Metazoa, Chordata, Amphibia, Anura, Ranidae.